GGAUGUGAGGGCGAUCUGGCUGCGACAUCUGUCACCCCAUUGAUCGCCAGGGUUGAUUCGGCUGAUCUGGCUGGCUAGGCGGGUGUCCCCCUCCUCCCUCACCGAUCCAUGUGCGUCCCUCCCGAAGCUGCGCGCUCGGUCGAAGAGGACGACCUUCCCCCCCGAGGAGAGGACUGGUCUUCGGUCAAGGGUAUACGAGUAGCUGCGCUCCCCUGCUAGAACCUCCAAACAAGCUCUCAAGAAUGUAGUGAUUUAGCCCUAACCGGUUUGGCUCAGUGGAUAGAGCAUC
This is a non-coding RNA of Myotis lucifugus (little brown bat), 289 nucleotides long. The record is from Rfam. Lineage: Eukaryota; Metazoa; Chordata; Mammalia; Chiroptera; Vespertilionidae.